This is a long non-coding RNA of Phyllostomus discolor (pale spear-nosed bat), 166 nucleotides long. RefSeq lists it as uncharacterized. The record is from RefSeq and is a predicted model, not a curated record. The transcript has 2 exons. Lineage: Eukaryota; Metazoa; Chordata; Mammalia; Chiroptera; Phyllostomidae.
UCGGUGUGACCCACAGCUGUGGCACAGGAUGUAAGCCCUUGACUGCACAGAGUGUGGAAGCUAGUCUCUGUCCCCAGACGAAUCCCGAGGAGAAACUGAAAUGGCACACUGUAGGAUGUGUCUGAAGAAACCAGCACGGGAACUGCAGAAGGGAGAUCCCAAGUGA